CGACAGGUUACGAAAUCCAAUCACGCAAUUCUCAUCGUGCACAGUUCAAACUUCCAGUCCCGUUCGAUCGAGAUGGCUGCUUCCGGCGACCUGAGCGCCGCCGUGCCGUGCGUGACGCUCAACUCGGGCCACGCCAUGCCGGCGCUGGGCUUCGGCACCGGCUCGUCGAGCCCGCCGGCCGACCUGCCGGCGACGAUCGCGCGCGCCGUGCGCCUCGGCUACCGCCACCUCGACACCGCGGCGAUGUACGGCACGGAGGGCGCCGUCGGCGCGGCCGUCGCCGAGGCCGUCCGGGCCGGCGCCGUCGCCUCGCGCGGCGACCUGUUCGUCACCACCAAGCUGUCGCUGCUCGACGCGCACCCGGGGCGCGUGGUCCCCGCGCUCCGGGAGUCGCUGGCGCGCCUCGGCCUCGACUACGUCGACCUCUUCCUCAUCCACUGGCCGCUGCGCUUGGUCAAGAAGGAGGACGACGCCGGCGCCGGCGUCGUGAGCCGCGUGGUGCCGUUCGACAUGGAGGGCGUGUGGCGCGGCAUGGAGGAGUGCCACCGGCUGGGCCUCGCGAGGUCCAUCGGCGUCAGCAACUUCUCGGCCGCCAAGAUGUCGCGGCUGCUCGUGCUCGCCGCCGUGCCGCCGGCGGUGAACCAGGUGGAGAUGAACGCCGGGUGGCGGCAGGAGAAGGUGCGGGAGGCGUGCGGCGCGAGCGGCGUCGUGGUCACCGCGUACUCGCCGCUGGGCGCGUACGGCGCGAUCUGGGGCUCCGACGCCGUCAUGAAGAGCGGCGUGCUGCACGACGUCGCCGCCAGGACAGGCAAGACCAUUGCUCAGGUGGCGUUAAGGUGGCUGUACGAGCAAGGCGUGUGCUUGGUGGCAAGGAGCUUCAACGAGGAGCGGAUGAAGCAGAACAUGGAGAUCUUCGACUGGGAGCUGAGCGAGGAAGACAAGCAGAUGAUCGCCGGCAUGCCGCAGCGGCGAGCCUGCCGGGGUGAAUACUUCCUCUCGCCGGACGGUCCAUACAAAUCCCUCCAUGACCUCUGGGAUGGCGAGAUAUGAAGAUGACGACGAUGACAUAUAUCUGCUGCUCAAAAUGGGCCUAUGAACCUAGGUGGUUUUAUGAAUUUGUUGCAGCAACCAUAGUUUUUCACCCUCGUCGCAGCUGAAGGGACAAUUUCCAUUUUGUUGGGCUCAAUCAGAACUAUAACCCAACAUCUUCACCACCCCCACCAUGUUACAAUGGACUCCAACAACUCAAGGACCAUCAGCCAACCAAGCUACAUCAUCUAAUAGAAGGGUCAGAAUCAACGUCGACAACGAUGAUGGUGUUGAGGGAUCAAUUAAUGGAUGAGGCACAACAAAUGUAUACAAAACAAUUUGGAAAGCCUUUCUCAUUGGUUCACUGGUGAAGAACUCUCAGAAAUGAACAAAAAUGGUGUGCUUAUAUUGAUAAAUUGGAAAAGGGAAAAAACAAGAGUGCGGCCAUUGAUGUUAUAUAUAGAUGAUAGAGACCAGUCUCGUCCCAUUGGGCAAGAAGCAGCAAAGGCCUAGAGCAAUGGCAAGCGCAAGAAAGAAGAGGUUAUGGAUGGUAUUUUCAUGGUUGGUGAUACAAAGACCAUAUGGUGCAGCGUGAAAAGGUGACACAUGCGCAACUAGAAAUCUCAAGGACAGGUCUCAAAGCUGCAAAGGAACAAAAGGAGGCAAAGCUGCUUGAAGUUUAUAAUUCGCUCCAUAAUCUAGGCCUAUUAACCUGGUGGUUUUAUGAAUUUGUUGACCGUCGCCGCAGCUGCAAGGACAAAAUUUCCAUUUUAUUGGGCUCAAUCAGAACUACAACCCAACAUCUCCACCACCACCUACAAUGUUCCAAAGGGACUCCAACAACUCAAGGACCAUCACCCAACCAAACUACCUCAUCUAACAAAGGGUCAUAAUCAACCUCGACAACGAUGAUGGUGUUGAGACUACUAUAAUCUGAUGAUUAAUUAAUGGAUGAGGCACAAUAGAUGUAUACAAAACAACAUGGAAAGCCUUCUCCUUGGUCCACUGGUGGAGGAUUCUUAGAAAUGAAUCAAAAUGGUGUGCUUAUAUUGAUAAAUUAGAAAAGGAAAAAAAACAAGAGUGCGGCUAUUGAUGUUACAGAUGAUAGAGACCAAUCUCCUCCCAUUGGACAAGAAGCAGCAAAGGCCUAGCGCAAUGGCAAGCACAACAAACAAGAGGUUAUGGAUGGUAUUUUCAUCCUUGGUGAUACAAAGACCAUGUGGUGCAGUGUCAAAAGGUGACACAUGCGCAACUAGAAAUCGCAAGGACAAAUCCCAAAGCUGCAAAGGAGCAAAACGAGGCAAAGCUGCUUGAAGUUUAUAAUUCACUCCAUAAUGUAGUGAGUGAUUAUUUCUUGGAGAGUACUCUUUAUUCUUGCAAAAUUUUUCAUUGAAGAUAUCAUAUGUCAAUACCAUUGUUCUAUGCAUCGUGAAUGCAUUGGACCAACGGCUUGAGUAUUUCGCUACAAAGACGGAAGCUCUUAAUCGUCAAGGGCUUGCUUAGUUACAAAAAUGUAAAUGUACAGUGUCUAUUCGCCAAUUGACUAUGGGAGUGUUGCAGAUCAUCUAGAUUAAUACUUGAAGAUCAGUGAGACCAUUGAAAUGGAGGCAAUGAAUAAUUUUGUCGAAGGGGUUAUUGCUGUUUUUGGUGGACAAUGUUUGAGAUGCCCCACUGUGAAAGAUGUUGAGCUUCUGCUUAUAGUAGGUGAGAGUCGAAACUUUUGUGGUAUGUUUGGGAGCAUGAUUGCAUGUAUUGGCAAUAGGAAAAAUUUCUCAUUGCAUGGAAGGGUCAAUUCAUUCCGGGUGAUGAAAAAGGCUCAACCUUAAUUCUUGAAAUCGUGGCAUCUCACGACCUUUAGAUUUGACAUGCAUUCUUUAGCAUAUAUGGCCCGUCACCGAUGAUGCAUCACUGAAGGACAGUACAUUGUGGCCCGUCAAAGAUGAUAUUCACUCAAAUUUAUUAAUUUUUAUUGGAUUUCAUCAUCCGUGAAAGGCUGUAAUUAUGACCCGUUAUGGAUUUGUUGUUCGUGAUGAGCUGUAAACAUCAUCGGUGAUUGUCAUAUGUAAUCAGUGAUGGGCUGUAAACAUCA
RNA transcript from Oryza brachyantha (malo sina), 3118 nucleotides. It is a transcript of the gene named probable NAD(P)H-dependent oxidoreductase 1, with no coding region annotated. NCBI's taxonomy places the organism in Eukaryota, Viridiplantae, Streptophyta, Magnoliopsida, Poales, Poaceae. The transcript is spliced from 4 exons. The record is from RefSeq and is a predicted model, not a curated record.